AACGGCCGUACCAUGCUGAAUAUACCGGUUCUCGUUAGAUCACCGAAGUCAAGCAUCAUUGGGCGCGGUCAGUACUUGGGUGGGUGACCACCUGGGAACACCGCGUGCAGU
Non-coding RNA from Caerostris darwini, 111 nucleotides. The record is from the annotation of a GenBank genome assembly. Lineage: Eukaryota; Metazoa; Arthropoda; Arachnida; Araneae; Araneidae.